Molecule: non-coding RNA, 55 nt
Filed under: Elusimicrobiota bacterium
Lineage: Bacteria; Pseudomonadati; Elusimicrobiota
Description: Elusimicrobia bacterium Li+-I sequence
Rfam family: nhaA-I RNA
About the family: Acidobacteria, Alphaproteobacteria, Betaproteobacteria and Gammaproteobacteria, Verrucomicrobia, cand. division NC10. Downstream gene
Source: RNAcentral
GGGUCCGGGGUUACAGGCAAAUCCCGGAGGUUAAAUAAUGGUCGGGCCGCCAUUU